Molecule: ribosomal RNA, 497 nt
Filed under: uncultured bacterium
Lineage: Bacteria
Description: partial 16S ribosomal RNA
Rfam family: Bacterial small subunit ribosomal RNA
Source: RNAcentral
GAUGAACGCUGGCGGCGUGCCUAAUACAUGCAAGUCGAGCGAACGGACGAGAAGCUUGUUUCUCUGAUGUUAGCGGCGGACGGGUGAGUAACACGUGGAUAACCUACCUAUAAGACUGGGAUAACUUCGGGAAACCGGAGCUAAUACCGGAUGAUAUUUUGAACCGCAUGGUUCAAAAGUGGAAGACGGUCUUGCUGUCACUUAUAGAUGGAUCCGCGCUGCAUUAGCUAGUUGGUAAGGUAACGGCUUACCAAGGCAACGAUGCAUAGCCGACCUGGGAGAGUGAUCGGCCACACUGGAGCUGGAACACGGUCCAGACUCCUACGGGAGGCAGCAGUAGGGAAUCUUCCGCAAUGGGCGAAAACCUGACAGAACAACGCCGCGUGAGUGAUGAAGGUCUUCGGAUCGUAAAACUCUGUUAUUAGGUAAAAACAUAUGUGUAAGUAACUGUGCACAUCUUGACGGUACCUAAUCAGAAAGCCACGGCUAACUACGUG